CCCUUAGAUGUCCUGGGCCGCACGCGCGCUACACUGACAUGUUCAACAAGCCUCCUAGUUCGACAGGAUUUGGGAAAUCUUUGAACGCAUGUCGUGAUAGGGAUAGAUCAUUGCAAUUAUUGAUCUUGAACGAGGAAUUCCUAGUAAACGCGAGUCAUCAGCUCGCAUUGAUUACGUCUCUGCCCUUUGUACACACCGCCCGUCGCACCUACCGAUUGAAUGUUUCGGUGAAGAUUCCGGAUAGGACUUUUUUGAUUUAUUUCAAUUUUGUCUUAAAAGCUAUCUAAACCUCAACAUUUAGAGGAAGGUGAAGUCGUAACA
RNAcentral lists this ribosomal RNA (321 nucleotides) under uncultured eukaryote. RNAcentral describes it as "partial 18S ribosomal RNA". It matches the Rfam family "Eukaryotic small subunit ribosomal RNA", at positions 1470 to 1796 of the family's 1831-position model. The record is from RNAcentral.